Molecule: non-coding RNA, 1074 nt
Organism: Linepithema humile (Argentine ant)
Lineage: Eukaryota; Metazoa; Arthropoda; Insecta; Hymenoptera; Formicidae
Source: RefSeq, a predicted model, not a curated record
UUUUAAAUAUUGUUAUAAAUUUUACGUUUAUGCAUUAGUAAAAAUUAUCUUUUACAAAAACAAUCGAAGUUGACUCGUUUCAGAGAUAUUACGCUCAUCAAUUUUGACAAUAUGGUUUCGUGAAAAUUUUGUUUAAAGUUUUAUGAUGAUAAUUGUGUUAAAAAUCGGUCAGAUUUUUUAAAUUUAUCGUUAAUUAUCUAUAUCAGGUCCAUGCACAAUAAGCCUCACAGUAAAUCCUCUUUUCGUUCUGCAUAUUCGAAAAGUAUUCGAAUAAGAUCAUUGAAGAGUUAAUUUUACAUUUUAAAUAUUUUAAUAUUUUAUACUGAGACAUAUUUUUACAUGAAACAUGAAGUAUCUCAUAGAAUAUUUUUUUAUAUAAUCUGCUUAAAUAUUUUUCGCAGAAUAGGUGAAAAGAAUCGAUUGAUUGCGCCGAGGCCCGCCGAGUGCACAUGGAUACGCUUCUCGAUUGUUUGUGUGUAGCUCGCGGUUACAAAUGGCAUCACUGGUGGCGCUAGUGUCAGUAAAUUGCGUGCGCAAAGAACCUUUGCGCAUGUAAAUGCUUUUCAAGCGCCUAAAGGUUUGUUCGCGUCGCAUGUUCCAACAUGCUUCUACUCGCUCCGAUACGCUCCAAUCUAUAAUAUACGUAACGUAAUACUAUAGAUUUGAGCAUAUUGGAACGAGUAGGAGCAUGUUGGGGCAUGCAACAUGAACAAAUCUUAGGUUAUGUGUAGAUUGUAUUUUCUUUGACGUUUUCAGUGUUAGUUUCAGAGACAUCUGGUGGUGACAUUUUUGGCAUUUUUAGAUGUAUGGGUAAAGAUUGGAGUUAUGUCUCUAAUCUUUUUGCUGCUUGCUGUUUGCGUCUCAAAUCUGGCAUCACUGGCUCUGAUAGUACAAGAAGAACUGAGCUUUCAUUAAAAACUUUAAAACAGAAGAAUACAACCCAUUUUCAAGAACAGACUCACAUAACAAUAGAAUAUAAAUGUAUUUGUGUGUUAUCUAUAUUUUACCUAUAAACCGAUCUGAAUCUGUCGAAAGUUUUCAAACUCGUCUAAAUAAAGCCAUCUUGUAUUUGAA